AAUCUCAGAAUCAAAAGAUGUCUUCAUCCGAGCCUUCUCAAGGACAAGUUGAUCAAUAAUCUUCUUCCAAGCACCGGAAGGUUGAGGCAUACUAGAGGAAGGCAUACCCUAUGGCUCUCUCUGUCUCUUCACUGCUCGGUCUUCAAGAAGUUUAAUAAGUGCAUCCUUGUCUUUCGACCCAAGUUGCAACUCCCCAUGCUUUCGACUUAAAGCAUGGAACC
Molecule: long non-coding RNA, 221 nt
Filed under: Lathyrus oleraceus (garden pea)
Lineage: Eukaryota; Viridiplantae; Streptophyta; Magnoliopsida; Fabales; Fabaceae
Description: Pisum sativum (pea) long non-coding RNA (PSAT_LNC014797)
Source: RNAcentral